Molecule: non-coding RNA, 368 nt
Filed under: Pan troglodytes (chimpanzee)
Lineage: Eukaryota; Metazoa; Chordata; Mammalia; Primates; Hominidae
Source: RNAcentral
CGGCGUCCUGGGGCUUCCACUGUGAGGACGGAGCUUCCUCUCAGCACCCACCCAGGAGGGGCCGGGGCUUCGGGACACCUGGGGCCACGUCCGCUGUGAGGACAGGGAGACGCUCCGGGACACCUGGGGCCGCCGAGGAGAGAAAAACACAAACAAAUGAAAACAAAACCAAAAAAACCAUUGUGUGCGUCUAAUGGAAGUGAACUUGUCAACAACAGUUUUUCUUUUGUCGAGAAAGUCUGUUUAAUUUACAGUGUAUUUGUAAUGGUACAUAAAAUGGCGUCUGUUUUAUAAACAUUCUCAUCCUAAGUUGGUUGAAAUGUAUUAACUAUAUCAAGGUUUGACAUGAUACCAUAAAAUUAAUUGAA